AUGGACGUGCACUCAGCUCCGUCUUGCCCUACUGAGGCGAGGGCACCUGUUGAGCAUCUAAUUGGGCAGUUUGCAUCCGGAAUGACCAGCUUGCUCGGGAAGUUGGUUGAGGGGUGGACGUCCCUUAAUGGCUCCGACAGCGACGCGGUUGCGAGGCAGUUCACUACAUUUGUCCCAGAACGGACACAUCGGCCAACUGGUUGCCGUGGCCAGUAUGACUACAACAGUUCCCAAGAGCUUGCUGACACACAAGAUGAACUAGAUGGAGACGCUGGUCUCAGCAAGGAUGACGACGAUGACAUGGAGAACGUGCAACAAGACACCGAUUAUGAUGAACACGUUGAAGUUCGUGCAGGUGGUAAGAAGGGCAAGGAUGCACGAGAUGUCCCCCCACCGGAGAAAGUCAAAGAACAUACGGCUGCGAGAGGCGAGGGGGUGUUGCCAUCAAAGAGGGGGAGGGCUCCAGAGGAUGUUGCGCAGGGUUCUCCUGGCAAGAGGUCUAGGACCGAUCCCAUCCGUACAUCGGGGAGUGACGAGUCGGUAUCUGCCAGGACAGCUGAAAUAUUGCCAACUCUUCUGGCAAUGAAGGAUGCUGCUGUGAGCCAUGCUACCCCAUCAGCAAGCGUUGAAGUGGACGCUCCCGAGACCAACCUAAGCAAGGAAGGUUCCCGCUCAUCUGACACUGAUUCCAAGCGCGUGCGUGGUGGCACUCCUAUGUCCACGACAGAAGUGGCUGAGGUGGCAGUUCAUAAUGAUGUGCCAUCUGCAGGUGAGAGUCUUGGCACAACAGCUCCAGCUCCUGUCGAUGCAGAUACUGCUAAGGCGACAGUUUCGCGUGCUGGUCUUCCACUGAGGAGUCAUAGCCCCCGCAAGCAAUCAACAGACAUACCCAACGCACUAGCUGUAGCUAGGAGCAGCAGAGAUGAGUAUGGUUAUGUUCCUGCGUCCACACUAUUCCCGCCACCUGCCAAAAGCAAUGUGAUGGAGAAACCGGAAGACCGGAGCACAACUGAUGCAGGUGUCAAGCCGGGCACGAGUGACACAGGUGAACGUCCGGAGCAGACUGCGCCUUUACCCGAAGUGGAAAUCCCCAGCUUAAAUCUGCGCACUUCCAGGCUCCCAGUCAAUGUUGGUGUCCCCUACAGCCCAAACAAGAAGAUUGUCAAGGAAGUUAUGGCUGAUACCGCUGACAAAACGCCCUGCCCUACAAAUAAGCCCGAUCAUUCUAUAGUGGUCGAUUCAGAUAUGUUUGUUGAUAUUUCACCCUUGGAUUCUGCCCCGCAAGUUGUUCGUGGUCCGGCCAGUAGGCAUGAGAGGCACCCAAUGGCCUUCACCCCACCGAGCUUUAGCCUUGGCAUCAGUCAAGAUCAACCAGUGGUGCCAGAUCCUAUGCCAGUUGCCUUUGCUUUCCCUUGA
Molecule: ribosomal RNA, 1416 nt
Filed under: Triticum aestivum (bread wheat)
Lineage: Eukaryota; Viridiplantae; Streptophyta; Magnoliopsida; Poales; Poaceae
Description: partial small subunit ribosomal RNA
Source: RNAcentral